Non-coding RNA from Cristinia sonorae, 95 nucleotides. Lineage: Eukaryota; Fungi; Basidiomycota; Agaricomycetes; Agaricales; Stephanosporaceae. The record is from the annotation of a GenBank genome assembly.
GGUGAGAUGGCCGAGUGGUCUAAGGCGCCAGAAUCAGGUGUUAAGUCACGUAAAUCUGGUCCGAAAGGGCGCGGGUUCGAAUCCCGUUCUCAUCA